Molecule: ribosomal RNA, 207 nt
Filed under: uncultured bacterium
Lineage: Bacteria
Description: partial 16S ribosomal RNA
Rfam family: Bacterial small subunit ribosomal RNA
Source: RNAcentral
CGCGUAGGUGGUUAAGUAAGCGAUCUGUGAAAGCCCCGGGCUUAACCUGGGAACUGCAGGUCGAACUGCUUGGCUAGAGUAUGGUAGAGGGGUGUGGAAUUUCCUGUGUAGCGGUGAAAUGCGUAGAUAUAGGAAGGAACGUCAGUGGCGAAGGCGACACCCUGGACCGAUACUGACACUGAGGCGCGAAAGCGUGGGUAGCGAACA